GGGCCCGCACAAGCGGUGGAGCAUGUGGUUUAAUUCGAUGAUACGCGAGGAACCUUACCAGGGCUUAAAUGUAAGUUGCAUUAGUUAGAGAUAGCUAUUUCUUCGGACUACUUACAAGGUGCUGCAUGGUUGUCGUCAGCUCGUGCCGUGAGGUGUCAGGUUAAGUCCUAUAACGAGCGCAACCCCUGUUGUUAGUUGCCAUCGAGUCAUGUCGGGAACUCUAACAAGACUGCCGGUGCAAACCGUGAGGAAGGUGGGGAUGACGUCAAAUCAUCACGGCCCUUACGUCCUGGGCUACACACGUGCUACAAUGGCCGGUACAGAGAGCAGCCACUACGCGAGUAGGCGCGAAUCUUCAAAGCCGGUCUCAGUUCGGAUUGGAGUCUGCAACUCGACUCCAUGAAGCUGGAGUUGCUAG
Molecule: ribosomal RNA, 418 nt
Filed under: uncultured bacterium
Lineage: Bacteria
Description: bacterial SSU rRNA
Rfam family: Bacterial small subunit ribosomal RNA
Source: RNAcentral